RNAcentral lists this ribosomal RNA (497 nucleotides) under uncultured bacterium. RNAcentral's name for it is "partial 16S ribosomal RNA". It matches the Rfam family "Bacterial small subunit ribosomal RNA", at positions 28 to 507 of the family's 1533-position model. The record is from RNAcentral.
GAUGAACGCUGGCGGCGUGCCUAAUACAUGCAAGUCGAGCGAACGGACGAGAAGCUUGCUUCUCUGAUGUUAGCGGCGGACGGGUGAGUAACACGUGGAUAACCUACCUAUCAUACUGGUAUAACUUCGGGACACCGGCGCUAAUACCGUAUAAUCUUUUGAACCGCAUUGUUCAAUAGUGAAAGACGGUCUUUCUGUCACUUCUAGAUGCAUCCCCGCUGCAUUAGCUAGUUGGUAAGGUAACGGCUUACCACGGCAACGAUGCAUAGACGACCUGAGAGAGGGAUAGGCGACACUAGAGGGGAGACAGGGACAAGACGCCUAAGAGAGGCAGCAGUAGGGAAUCGUACGCAAUGGGCGAGAGUAUGACGGAGCAAGGCCGCGUGAGAGAUAAAGGCCUUGGGAGCGUAAAAAUCGGUUAUGAGGGAAGAACAUAUGUGGAAGGAACUGUGCAGAGCGUGACGGUAAUGAAUCAGAAAGCCACGGCUAACUACGUG